Molecule: ribosomal RNA, 253 nt
Filed under: uncultured bacterium
Lineage: Bacteria
Description: partial 16S ribosomal RNA
Rfam family: Bacterial small subunit ribosomal RNA
Source: RNAcentral
GACAGAGGGGGCAAGCGUUGCUCGGAAUUACUGGGCGUAAAGGGCGCGUAGGCGGGAUGGCAAGUCGGUCGUGAAAUCCCUCGGCUCAACUGAGGAUCGUCGAUCGAUACUGCCGUUCUUGAGGAUUGCAGAGGAGACUGGAAUUCCCGGUGUAGCGGUGAAAUGUGUAGAGAUCGGGAGGAACACCGGUGGCGAAGGCAGGUCUCUGGGCCACUACUGACGCUGAGAAGCGAAAGCAUGGGGAGCGAACAGG